RNAcentral lists this unclassified non-coding RNA (305 nucleotides) under plant metagenome. Its description in RNAcentral is "partial contains 5.8S ribosomal RNA, internal transcribed spacer 2, and large subunit ribosomal RNA". The stretch from base 1 to 105 matches the Rfam family "5.8S ribosomal RNA", at positions 50 to 154 of the family's 154-position model. The record is from RNAcentral.
GAAAUGCGAUAAGUAGUGUGAAUUGCAGAAUUCAGUGAAUCAUCGAAUCUUUGAACGCACAUUGCGCCCUUUGGUAUUCCUUAGGGCAUGCCUGUUCGAGCGUCAUCUAAACCUUCAAGCCCUGCUUGGUGUUGGGUGCCUGUUCCGCCUCCGCGCGCGGACUCACCUCAAAUCCAUUGGCGGCCCCCGCGUCGGCCACGAGCGCAGCAGAAACGCGAACUCGUGAGCCCGUCCGGGCGGCUCCCAGAAGCUACACCCACCCAGUUUGACCUCGGAUCAGGUAGGGAUACCCGCUGAACUUAAGC